GAUGAACGCUGGCGGCGUGCCUAAUACAUGCAAGUCGAGCGAACAGACGAGGAGCUUGCUCCUCUGACGUUAGCGGCGGACGGGUGAGUAACACGUGGAUAACCUACCUAUAAGACUGGGAUAACUUCGGGAAACCGGAGCUAAUACCGGAUAAUAUAUUGAACCGCAUGGUUCAAUAGUGAAAGACGGUUUUGCUGUCACUUAUAGAUGGAUCCGCGCCGCAUUAGCUAGUUGGUAAGGUAACGGCUUACCAAGGCAACGAUGCGUAGCCGACCUGAGAGGGUGAUCGGCCACACUGGAACUGAGACACGGUCCAGACUCCUACGGGAGGCAGCAGUAGGGAAUCUUCCGCAAAGGGCGAAAGCCUGACAGAGCAACGCCGCGUGAGUGAUGAAGGUCUUCGGAUCGUAAAACUCUGUUAUUAGGGAAGAACAAAUGUGUAAGUAACUAUGCACGUCUUGACGGUACCUAAUCAGAAAGCCACGGCUAACUACGUG
Molecule: ribosomal RNA, 497 nt
Filed under: uncultured bacterium
Lineage: Bacteria
Description: partial 16S ribosomal RNA
Rfam family: Bacterial small subunit ribosomal RNA
Source: RNAcentral